AGGACGAACGCUGGCGGCGUGCUUAACACAUGCAAGUCGAGCGGAAAGGCCCUUCGGGGUACUCGAGCGGCGAACGGGUGAGUAACACGUGAGUAAUCUGCCCUUAGCUCUGGGAUAGCUCCGGGAAAACCGGGAUUAAUACCAGAUACGACCACUUUAGACAUCUGCCGUGGUGGAAAGAAUUUCGGCUAAGGAUGAGCUCGCGGCCUAUCAGCUUGUUGGUGGGGUAACGGCCUACCAAGGCGACGACGGGUAGCCGGCCUGAGAGGGCGACCGGCCACACUGGGACUGAGACACGGCCCAGACUCCUACGGGAGGCAGCAGUGGGGAAUAUUGCGCAAUGGGCGAAAGCCUGACGCAGCGACGCCGCGUGGGGGAUGAAGGCCUUCGGGUUGUAAACCCCUUUCAGCAGGGACGAAGCGAAAGUGACGGUACCUGCAGAAGAAGCGCCGGCUAACUACGCGCCAGCAGCCGC
This 475-nucleotide ribosomal RNA is filed under the name uncultured bacterium. RNAcentral describes it as "SSU rRNA". It matches the Rfam family "Bacterial small subunit ribosomal RNA", at positions 26 to 518 of the family's 1533-position model. The record is from RNAcentral.